CCUACGGGGGGCUGCAGUGGGGAAUAUUGGACAAUGGGGGAACCCUGAUCCAGCCAUGCCGCGUGUGUGAAGAAGGCCCUCGGGUUGUAAAGCACUUUCAGUGAGGAAGAACGCCUGGUGGUUAAUACCCAUCAGGAAAGACAUCACUCACAGAAGAAGCACCGGCUAACUCCGUGCCAGCAGCCGCGGUAAUACGGAGGGUGCGAGCGUUAAUCGGAAUUACUGGGCGUAAAGCGCGCGUAGGUGGCUUGAUAAGCCGGUUGUGAAAGCCCCGGGCUCAACCUGGGAACGGCAUCCGGAACUGUCAAGCUAGAGUGCAGGAGAGGAAGGUAGAAUUCCCGGUGUAGCGGUGAAAUGCGUAGAGAUCGGGAGGAAUACCAGUGGCGAAGGCGGCCUGCUGGACUGACACUGACACUGAGGUGCGAAAGCGUGGGUAGCAAACAGGAUUAGAUACCCGUGUAGUC
RNAcentral lists this ribosomal RNA (464 nucleotides) under Vreelandella stevensii. Its description in RNAcentral is "partial 16S ribosomal RNA". It matches the Rfam family "Bacterial small subunit ribosomal RNA", at positions 338 to 795 of the family's 1533-position model. Lineage: Bacteria; Pseudomonadati; Pseudomonadota; Gammaproteobacteria; Oceanospirillales; Halomonadaceae. The record is from RNAcentral.